UGUUAAGGGAAAAAUACGUGCGCUAUAUACGUGAGGUUGAAGUUCCAUCUCUCUCAGCAUUAUCAACAUACCAAAAUUGUACUCAUUAGCCUGUUGGAUCAAGGCAUGGAGGAUAAAUGUUAUUAAAGGAUAUGUUUAUCUUAACCUUAUCCUGGAAAACUGAAGAUAUGAAAUUUGGGACUGAAGAUAUGUGGACAUUUUAAAUCUCCAAAUUCUUUUGAAAAGGCAUGGAAACCAUCCUAGUUCGUCCCAGCAUUGCAAGUGUUCAUCCUUCUGGAAAGUUCCAGCUUUCACCUCUGGUGGUAAAGUACAAGUUCCCUUCUGACCUCUUCCCUACCUUGGCUUACCCUCCUGUUUCUUAAAGAAUGUGAAAUAAAUGGGAUCAUACAGUCUGUAAUUUUUUGAAACUGACACCUUUAACUCAGCAUAAAGCUUUUGA
This is a long non-coding RNA of Mustela erminea (ermine), 439 nucleotides long. RefSeq lists it as uncharacterized. Lineage: Eukaryota; Metazoa; Chordata; Mammalia; Carnivora; Mustelidae. The record is from RefSeq and is a predicted model, not a curated record. The transcript is spliced from 3 exons.